This 325-nucleotide ribosomal RNA is filed under the name uncultured fungus. RNAcentral's name for it is "eukaryotic LSU rRNA". It matches the Rfam family "Eukaryotic large subunit ribosomal RNA", at positions 1 to 317 of the family's 3401-position model. The record is from RNAcentral. Lineage: Eukaryota; Fungi.
UUGACCUCAAAUCAGGUAGGACUACCCGCUGAACUUAAGCAUAUCAAUAAGCGGAGGAAAAGAAACUAACAAGGAUUCCCCUAGUAACUGCGAGUGAAGCGGGAAAAGCUCAAAUUUAAAAUCUGGCGGUCUCUGGCCGUCCGAGUUGUAAUCUAGAGAAGUGUUAUCCGCGCUGGACCGUGUACAAGUCUCCUGGAAUGGAGCGUCAUAGAGGGUGAGAAUCCCGUCUUUGACACSGACUGCCAGGGCUUUGUGAUGCGCUCUCAAAGAGUCGAGUUGUUUGGGAAUGCAGCUCAAAAUGGGUGGGUAAAUUCCAUCUAAAGCU